UGCAGUCGAGGGGCAGCAUUUCAGUUUGCUUGCAAACUGGAGAUGGCGACCGGCGCACGGGUGAGUAACACGCUAUCCAACCUGCCGAUAACUCGGGGAUAGCCUUUCGAAAGAAAGAUUAAUACCCGAUGGUAUAAUCAGACCGCAUGGUCUUNUUAUUAAAGAAUUUCGGUUAUCGAUGGGGAUGCGUUCCAUUAGGCAGUUGGUGAGGUAACGGCUCACCAAACCUUCGAUGGAUAGGGGUUCUGAGAGGAAGGUCCCCCACAUUGGAACUGAGACACGGUCCAAACUCNUACGGGAGGCAGCAGUGAGGAAUAUUGGUCAAUGGGCGCAGGCCUGAACCAGCCAAGUAGCGUGAAGGAUGACUGCCCUAUGGGUUGUAAACUUCUUUUAUAUGGGAAUAAAGUUUUCCACGUGUGGAAUUUUGUAUGUACCAUAUGAAUAAGGAUCGGCUAACUCCGUGCCAGCAGCCGCGGUAAUACGGAGGAUCCGAGCGUUAUCCGGAUUUUAUUGGGUUUAAAGGGAGCGUAGGUGGACAGUUAAGUCAGUUGUGAAAGUUUGCGGCUCAACCGUAAAAUUGCAGUUGAUACUGGCUGUCUUGAGUACAGUAGAGGUGGGCGGAAUUCGUGGUGUAGCGGUGAAAUGCUUAGAUAUCACGAAGAACUCCGAUUGCGAAGGCAGCUCACUGGACUGCAACUGACACUGAUGCUCGAAAGUGUGGGUAUCAAACAGGAUUAGAUACCCUGGUAGUCCACACAGUAAACGAUGAAUACUCGCUGUUUGCGAUAUACAGUAAGCGGCCAAGCGAAAGCAUUAAGUAUUCCACCUGGGGAGUACGCCGGCAACGGUGAAACUCAAAGGAAUUGACGGGGGCCCGCACAAGCGGAGGAACAUGUGGUUUAAUUCGAUGAUACGCGAGGAACCUUACCCGGGCUUAAAUUGCAUUUUGAAUAUUUUGGAAACAGGNUAGCCGNAAGGCAAAUGUGAAGGUGCUGCAUGGUUGUCGUCAGCUCGUGCCGUGAGGUGUCGGCUUAAGUGCCAUAACGAGCGCAACCCUUAUCUUUAGUUACUAACAGGUCAUGCUGAGGACUCUAGAGAGACUGCCGUCGUAAGAUGUGAGGAAGGUGGGGAUGACGUCAAAUCAGCACGGCCCUUACGUCCGGGGCUACACACGUGUUACAAUGGGGGGUACAGAAGGCAGCUACCUGGUGACAGGAUGCUAAUCCCAAAAGCCUCUCUCAGUUCGGAUCGAAGUCUGCAACCCGACUUCGUGAAGCUGGAUUCGCUAGUAAUCGCGCAUCAGCCAUGGCGCGGUGAAUACGUUCCCGGGCCUUGUACACACCGCCCGUCAAGCCAUGAAAGCCGGGGGUACCUGAAGUACGUAACCGCAAGGAGCUCCUAGGAAAC
Molecule: ribosomal RNA, 1407 nt
Filed under: Bacteroides thetaiotaomicron
Lineage: Bacteria; Pseudomonadati; Bacteroidota; Bacteroidia; Bacteroidales; Bacteroidaceae
Description: bacterial SSU rRNA
Rfam family: Bacterial small subunit ribosomal RNA
Source: RNAcentral